CGCCCCACCCGGCCUCCCACCGCGCCGCGCCGCCCCGCCCGACCUCCCAACGCACCGCGCCACCCCUGUUGGCGUCACCCCUGGACUCCGGCAGCGCUCCAGACCCUGCCGCUUGCUCCGUUGGCGAUGCCCGGUACAACCUGGACUUCGCCGCCACUCCUCCCCUGCACUCCCUUCCCCAUACUCCGUGGGUGACGCCCGGUACUGCUCUUCUCCCUACGCGCUGGUGCGUUGGUGUCGCCCCAAACAUGGGAGCCAUCCCAAGGCCGUAAGAGUCUCGAGCUUCCUGCAGUUCGAGGGCGAACACCGCAGGAUCUCCAGCAGGAAAGUGGUCGCACCAAGUUGAACUUGCUGCAGCACCAUCUUGACCAAGUCAAACUUGCAGCAGCCAGGGUACCACAGUCACUGGCAGCCGUCCACGAUGAGCUCUAACCGCAGUCCAAGUCGAACUACUACCACCAUCUUCACCAAGCGCUGCACUCAUUGUGCACCAACACAGUGCUUUCCAUGUCGAAAAACUAUGGAAAAUGGGGCAAAUAAUAUACCGUUGCCUCGUGUCUCAAAUGAUCUUAGAGAAGAGAUUUAGCCAGUCAGCAGCAUUUGUUGCCUUCACUCUGAUGGAAUAUGGUGGUGUUCCUCGGUACUCCACUCCAGAAUCUCUUUUGAAAAAAGCUCUCCAUGUCAUAGGUUGUGGCUACGAGGACAAGUCUGAAGGGGAACGAAGCUGAAAAAAGAGAAGAAUUUCUCUCAUCCUUCUUCUGAGAAGAUUGGGAUGGGAGUCUACGGGGCAGGCAAAGUGUGUUGUUGCUUCUACAAUUUCAAACAUUAAUUUGAGAAAAGUUAUUCCUCGGCUAAGUUUGAAAUAUGUCAUUUUGUGAAGUUUAGCUACUCAGCCAUGAACUACUAAAUGGUGGACUUGCAUUUUGUUUCUUCAGUACAUACAUGAGUUGAAUGUAAUACAUGGAACAUAUGUCAAAUCUCCAAGAUAGAGUUCAUAUUUAUUUUCUUCCAAGUAGCAAAUAUUUCUGUGGAUCAGUACAACUUCUGUACGACCUUUUGUUCACAAAUCUUGUAGUGUUGUUUCUACAUGAAUCUUUUUAGUACUUUUUAAAGCAAGCAUGGUCCAUUUGUAAAAGCAAGCGUUUUUAGUACUUUUUAAAGCAAGCAUGGUCCAUUUGUAAAAGCAAGCGUUUUUAGUACUUUUUAAAGCAAGCGUUUUAGGUGGCCAAGUGUUAUUGAUUUGUGAGAGCUAAACAAAUUUCCUAUUCAAGUGGAAGCUCCCAGUAUAUGAUGGAUGUGGGAGUUAUUUUUACAUUCACUGUUCAGUGCUUCUCUUUGUGUAAUGUUUUAUGUUUUUAAGUGCUUGUUGAAAAUUUAUGUUCCUAGUAGUUCAUGUAUUACUGCGUGAGGAGUUCACGUGUUAUUGCCCAGUAAGUAAACUAUUAAUGACUCUCAAGUGAUGAAAAAAAUGGGCAGUGAUGAAAAAAAUGGGCACUAAUCUAUGACUAAAAAUAUCAUUCAGUUCAACGAUAUAAACCAUGCAAGUUCGGGGACGAUUAUAUAGUAACCGCUGAAAAGUUACGAGCAAAACUCUAACAAAAAACAUAGUAAAGUCGAGUCUGUGAAAGUACACGUUCAGCACAAACUCAUGCGGAGAUCAGUUCGAGUACUGUGUUUCCGAAACAGAAAAAAAAGCACAACCAGUAUCACCGUAUUCAAAACUACUCUGUGAAAAAUACCUCAGUACAAACAUAGUCAUAGAUCAGUAUGAAUACUCUGUUUUUUAGACAGGAAAAAACAACACGAUGGGUUUCACCUUAUUCAAAAUUACUCUUAAACGGUUGUGAAGUAGAAAAAAGUUUAACAUGACUAAGUUUCACAUUUUCGAUAGCAGCUAUCCAAUGGUAUAUUAUUUGCCCCAUUUCGACAAACUUUUUAGAAAAAUCGCGUUCGAAAUCAAAUUUGACCGUACUCGAAUUCGAGUUUAAACCGUAAGGAAUUAGAAAAACAUUUCUACACGAAAAAGUUGUGCAUUUUCCAUAGCUUUCCAACGUUGUAUCAUUUGCGUCAAUCCGACAAACCGUUUGCAAAAAAAAGCAAAAAUACGUUUCGCCCAGAAUUUUACCAUUUUUCAAAUUACUUUUAAAUUGUAUACAAUUUUAAAAAAUAAUAGAUAUAUGAAAGAAGCGGAUUUUCACCAGCUUUCCAAUGCCAUCUUAUUUGCUCAAUUCCGAGAAACCGUUUGAAAAUUGAGUCCGAAAUACGAUUCGCAUUUUUGGUUUUGAAAAAACGGUUUUUUUCAAAACUGCUCUUAAACCGUGAUGGUUUUGUAAAAAAUUCCUAUAUAUUUGUAAUGUAGAUGUCAAGAGCUUUCCAAUGAUAUAUUACACGUCCCAUUCCGACGAAAAGACGAAUAGUUCGACGAGAUGAAAAUCGUCAGUACAACCGCCUAAAACAUCAGUUCAAGUAGGGUAACAGAAUAAUAUUCUAUUAUG
Aegilops tauschii subsp. strangulata is the source of this 2495-nucleotide long non-coding RNA. RefSeq lists it as uncharacterized. Lineage: Eukaryota; Viridiplantae; Streptophyta; Magnoliopsida; Poales; Poaceae. The record is from RefSeq and is a predicted model, not a curated record.